AGUCUGGACCUUAGACCUGUUGCCACCAUUAAAGGACCAAACUGCGCAGAAGUCAGUCCCACGUCUGAACACAGUCUUCAAUUCCUAUGGAGAUUCCUUACUUUUGUUAUGUGUAGUCUGCAUUUGCAGAAGCGUGAUGACUAACAGGGUUACCAGAUUUAACAGAUAAAAAUAAAGGACGCCCAGGUGAAUAUGAAUUCCAAAUAAUUUUUUUAAAGUACAAACACUAAAAAUUACUAAAAUUUGUUUACCUGAAAUUUGUUAACCGGAUGUUCUGUAUUACAUCGGGCAAACUCUGCUCACUUCCUCUUUAAGAUGAUUUGUUAACUUCUUACAGAAAUCUCUAUGUGAGGCAAAAAGUAACUUCCCUGGACCAACAGCAAAUAAGGCUCAAGUCAGGAGGCCUUCUCCCAAACUUGGCCUUUAAAAAAAAAAAAAAAAAGACAACCCACCCAUUAGUCCCAGGAGCCUGCGCAUUAAAGCGAGCUGUGCAGCAGCUUUCCCGCCGGUUUUCUGCGAAAUGCAGCACAGUGGGUACCCGCAGGGUGGAGCGCAAAUGGCCGUGUCCUUGCGGGGUAGGAAAGGAGGUGCCGGAAACUUUGAACUCUGGCCAGAGUACAACGUGUCCACUUAGACGGCGACCCUGGGUGUCUGUUCUUCUGCAACUAUUAACUGGCAGGUAUGGAGAACUUCACAGAAAGUUAAGUACUGUGGCUAAUACCUCUGGGGUAGCACGCCAUUCAUUCUGCUCGGGUAAGGGCCUUCUGCUGGAGCCUGGUACUCUCUUUCAUCCUAAAAAGAACCCUUGCCAAGAGAAACCUUUACAGUAAGUGUGAAGGAGAUGCUGGCACAGAGCUCCAGCUGAGUUAGAGUCAAAGCCAGAGUGAGAGGGAAAUAAAAUGCCUGUGACAGAAACACAUUUUAUAGAAAAUGAUGCUGGUGGGUCAGCGGACAACACGGCGUGAUGGCUCAGUGCAAAGGUCAGGAAUGGCGAUUUGAUGGGAAAGGGCUUUGUUACAAAUGCCAUCUAAAUAAGCGCAUACGCAUGGAGGUUUUGCAACUACUGCUUAUCUAAUGAGAAGUUCUAGAAACUGCGACAGUGCGAGGUGGUGGAGUAGAGAAUAUAAAUUUUGGACUUGAAAUCCUGGUUUCGGUGCUCCUUGGGCAACUACUUAACCUGCCUGAACUUUUAUUUCUUCAUCUGCAGAGCCGGAUGAGGACUCUAGAAAUUCCACUCUGCUACACAACCACAAUGUACUAAAGAGAACAGUGGUUAAAACUGUAAAUUUCCAGAGUUUUGAAAAAGAUGAUUUUAACUAAAGGACUGCAACAAUCCAGGGAGUGUUUAUUCAAGAAAACCAGCUGACUCUCAGUAAGAACUGGGAGCUUCGUGGCAUUUUAAACUUAACCAGUUUCCGUACCCUCACUCCAGAUAUGUGGUAGCCCCGAACACCAACAGUCUCACAACCAGAAUAGCUCUGAGACCUAAAAGACUACCGGCCAGUGAAGGGGGCAGCAUGGGUUUGUAGCUCCCCAAAAAGCUGCAGCCCCAGAGCACUGCCACAGUUUGACCUGGUGGUUCCCUGGAAAGACCCCAGUCACAGGGCUUAUCUUAACUUGACCAGUUCUAUGUGAACAGUUCUAUCGCCACUGCAUUUGUUAAAAACAAUCGGCAAUAAAUGUUUAACAUCAUAGCUGUAUAAGGUCAUACCAGUGGAGGCUAACAAGAGACUGACCCAAAGUUUUAACUAAAAAAGUUUUAAAACUGGUGAAUGAGCUGUCUAUAGAGGGCACUGAAAAGCUCCAGCAUAUUACUGGAGACCUAGAAGUCCUUGCACAUGCCCUAAGAGAUGUGACUAGGCCUGCUCUCUGACUCUGGCUGACCAUAAGGCUCUGCAAAAGCAAGUAAAGGCUACGGUAGAGUUGUCCAUUACUUUCCAGAGCACUGAAUGUGUGCUCCGAGUUUGGUGAAAAACAUUUAACCUAUACAUACAGAAGUUCAAUGAACUCCAAGUAAGAUAAACUCAAAGAGAUCACAGGUAGACACAACAUAGUCAGCUUCUUGAAAGCAACAAGAGAAAGGUAAUUCCAUCACAAGGGAUCAUCAGCAAGUUUAAUGUCCCAACAGAAACCAUGCAGGCCAGGUGGUCGGAUGAUGUGUUUAAAGUGCCAAAAGAAAAAAACAAAAACAAAACCAAAAACCCUAUUAGCCAAGAACUUCAUAGCCAGUAAAACUGUUCUUCAAAAUAUAAGAGAAAUUAAGACAUUUCCAGGUAAACAGAAAAUUGUUCACAAACAGACCUGUUUUAUAUGAAAUACUAAAGAGAAUCCUUUAGACUGAAAUAAAAGGAUACUAGACAAUAACUUGAAUUCACAUGAAUAAAGACCAGU
RNAcentral lists this long non-coding RNA (2391 nucleotides) under Ailuropoda melanoleuca (giant panda). RNAcentral's name for it is "lncRNA (ENSAMEG00000025711.1)". Lineage: Eukaryota; Metazoa; Chordata; Mammalia; Carnivora; Ursidae. The record is from RNAcentral.